AUUUUAUCAUCAAAAUUCAGUAAUUUUAGAGUUGAAUAGGCUGAAUUUUAAACACCUAAAAGUUCAGUAAUUGGAGAAAGUUAAAAGAGAGGGUUGAGAGAUAAAACAAAACAGAAAAGUGAAGUCUUUCUUCCACUAUUAAAAAUCAGUGCCAGUUUGCUACUAUGUCAUUAAAGCUUCAAGCUUCUUUUCUUUGAGUGUUUGAAAACCAGAAAAUCUACUGUUCUAUCGCAUUCCUGAAUACAUUCUGUUUUUGCAUGUGAUUGCUGGUGGUGUUUCUGGUUUUAUUCCUGGGUUUCUGGUGUAUCUGUGUUGCUGUUUGGUACUUCUGAAAUUGCAACUUGUGGUCCUGAACUUGCUGUUGGUUAAAACUGUUCCAUUGGUUUUAUUCCUGGAAAGUGCAUGAGUUGAUCCAGUCCUUGCAAUUAUUAAAAGCAAAUGUAGUGGUCCUAUAUGUAGCACAUAAAAGCAGCAAUCUAGACAACUAAUCAUCAAAUAUGAGAAAUGAGAAGCAAUUUUGUUUCUUUGCUACAUAUUGUUGAGGUCUGGUCAUUCACUAAAUGACAAGAGCUAUUAUAUUAGCGGAAACCCAUCGUGCAUCAACUUUGGGCAAGAGAAGCAAGAGUUGACAUGUCCAUAUAAAUGACAAAAAUAAGUUUGUGUCAGUUGCAUUCUCUGCACAAAGAGUAUAUCCUACUUCUUUUUUAAGUGUCUUAUGGGAAAUCUGAUAAACAUGAUAGGUUAAUGCAUCCCCAACACUAUUGUUAUCUUAGAAACUGUAAGCAAUACAAAAAAUAACCACAGUGAGGACUAGAUCAAGAUGUGUGCAUGUAAAAUUCGAUUCUGCAUCAAAAAGAUUGUACCAUUUCUUCCAAUUAUUUCCUUCUCAACUAAGGCUAAAUCAUAAUAUGAGCAGUUGGAAAUAUCUAAAAAAAAAAAAGAAGGGAGAGAAUUGAUAUCCUUUCAAGUAGAAUAAGUCAUGUCCUCUUCAAUUGAAACCAAGACAGAUUCUAGGCACCUAAUUUGGAAAAUUAACAUUAGGAAAUUUCAUAACUAGGCACCUAAUUUGGAAAAUUAACAUUAGGAAAUUUCAUAACUUUAGGAGAAAGAGGCUAGAUAACGUUCUUGACAUCUAAAGUACUGAAAGAAAAUUAUUAACAGAUUGCAGUUCCAAAAAUAAGAUAUGGUUUCUUUAAUUUAGAGAGCCUAGUUUCAUAUUUCCUGUAAUUAAUACCGAGGGAAAUAUACCAUGUCCAAUGCUCCAGUAUUAAAACUUAUCUUAGUAAUUAAGGUAAUUUUUAGUUUAAUCAAAUUAAAGUUCACAGUUGGGAAGAUGAAAUCAUAGUCUGCAAUUUUAUAGCACAUGAGAGUUCUUUGAGGGAGUCAACUACUUAUCGUACCUGGAAUUAUUUCACUUCAAUCCUUUUUACCUUAAUGAGGCAAACAGAGUAGAACAACAUUAAAACAUGAUUAAUAAGAAAGUGCAAUACUUGCCUUUUUUACUGUAACGAGGCAAACAAAGUAGAAAAAUGAAAUGCUUACAUUAAAAUGCAGCAUGAAGUUAACCAUACAGCAGGCAUGAAAAUUAAGAUAACUGAUAUAAUAUGUUAAUAAUGCAUUCUUGCUAUUCAUAGUGGCAGCAACAUAAGCAAGUAAAGGAUGAAAACGAUAACCAAAUGAACAGCUCAAUUCAAGAUGCAUAUCUAUAUCUUGCCUCUAGGUGAGCCUACAAUAGUGCUAUUAUCUCCAUUUUAAUUAAAAAGGUAAAAUAUGAAGCAAAAAACAAACAAAAAUACAAAUGCAAAUAUAGAAUAACGAAACUAUAAUAAUCAAAGUAUGAAUUUAAGAUGAAGACCAUGAAGCUAAUAGCUAUUUCAGUGCUAUCAGUAUCAACAGUUGUCAUAGUCAUACAUUGGGAUAUUCCUUGUCCCUUUUGUUUAGCUUCUAACUGCAUUUAUUUUCGUUAUAUAUUUUUCACAAGUUAGCUUCUACGAUUGUUAUUCACGGCAUAUCGAUCACAAAUCGCAAAUGUCCAAUGUUCAAUCACUAAACAAACUAUUAAAAAUUAAGGUCCCUUUGAAUGUAUCAGAUAUUAAUAAAGUAUUGAUGAAUUUUUGUGUGCCUGCACAUCUAUUUCUCUUUGACCCAUAUAUUCUUUCUUUUAGGCUUUUUUAGAAUGAAAGAUCCAUCUCACAUGCAAAAUUUAUUUAACAGAGAAGAUCUUCAAUUAGUGCUGAUCCACAAAACAUAUAGCAGACUAAAUGGAAUAGUUCUGCAUAGAGUUUAAAACAAGAAAUUUUACCCUUCUCCACCAAAUCAAGCAAAAAAUAACACGUGUGGAAUUCAGCCAAAAAAUCAAAGUAAACACAAAACAAUAUAACUCCAAUGAUCGUAAAAGAGAUACAAGGAAAAUACAGAAGAGACCAACUAUACUAAAAAGUUAAGAAAAGCAAACAAACGGCAAGAAAGCUACAACACAACCAAUAGUGAAAUCGUAAAGCAGGAAAAAAGAAAACUAAAAGAAAUAUGAAAUACGCAUCACAAAUAAAGGGGAAAAAAAUAGAAGCAAAAUUCCAGUGCAACAAACAACAAAAAAAGAAAAACAAAUUAAAAAGAGAGUAAAUACUAACCUGAACAUUGUGAGACCCAACAGAGACGCUAGAGAAUUCUAGAUGAAGAAGAACGAUAAAGAAUUUGAGAGUUCGAUGAGGUGCCAGGCUGCCAGCCAAUAAAAGGACACGUCUAUUAUAAGUUAUGAAAAGUCAAA
RNAcentral lists this long non-coding RNA (2767 nucleotides) under Nicotiana tabacum (common tobacco). RNAcentral's name for it is "long non-coding RNA (NTAB_LNC005141)". The record is from RNAcentral. Lineage: Eukaryota; Viridiplantae; Streptophyta; Magnoliopsida; Solanales; Solanaceae.